AGUGAACGCUGGCGGUAGGCCUAACACAUGCAAGUCGAACGGCAGCACAGUAAGAGCUUGCUCUUACGGGUGGCGAGUGGCGGGCGGGUGAGGAAUACAUCGGAAUCUACUUUUUCGUGGGGGAUAACGUAGGGAAACUUACGCUAAUACCGCAUACGACCUACGGGUGAAAGCAGGGGAUCUUCGGACCUUGCGCGAUUGAAUGAGCCGAUGUCGGAUUAGCUAGUUGGCGGGGUAAAGGCCCACCAAGGCGACGAUCCGUAGCUGGUCUGAGAGGAUGAUCAGCCACACUGGAACUGAGACACGGUCCAGACUCCUACGGGAGGCAGCAGUGGGGAAUAUUGGACAAUGGGCGCAAGCCUGAUCCAGCCAUACCGCGUGGGUGAAGAAGGCCUUCGGGUUGUAAAGCCCUUUUGUUGGGAAAGAAAAGCAGCAGGUUAAUACCCCGCUGUUCUGACGGUACCCAAAGAAUAAGCACCGGCUAACUUCGUA
RNAcentral lists this ribosomal RNA (492 nucleotides) under uncultured bacterium. RNAcentral describes it as "partial 16S ribosomal RNA". It matches the Rfam family "Bacterial small subunit ribosomal RNA", at positions 29 to 507 of the family's 1533-position model. The record is from RNAcentral.